This 1404-nucleotide ribosomal RNA is filed under the name metagenome. RNAcentral's name for it is "SSU rRNA". It matches the Rfam family "Eukaryotic small subunit ribosomal RNA", at positions 3 to 1413 of the family's 1831-position model. The record is from RNAcentral.
CCUGGUUGAUCCUGCCAGUAGUCAUAUGCUUGUCUCAAAGAUUAAGCCAUGCAUGUUUAAGUAUAGAGAUUUUUAUACCUUGAAACUGCGGACGGCUCAUUAAAUCAGUUAUAAUCUACUUGAUCGUAUUUUCUACAUGGAUAACUGUAGUAAUUCUAGAGCUAAUACAUGCAAAAAUGGGAGACUGACUUGUUGGAAUCUCAAUAUUUAUUAGGUACAAAAUCAAUAUCAAUUUGAUGAUUCAUAAUAACUAAACGAAGCGCAGAGUCCUAGUGACGGCGCUGAUACAAACGAGUUUCUGCCCUAUCAACUUUCGAUGGUAGUAUAGGGGACUACCAUGGUGUUAACGGGUAACGGGGAAUUAGGGUUCUAUUCCGGAGAGGGGGCCUGAGAAAUGGCCACCACUUCCAAGGAAGGCAGCAGGCGCGCAAAUUACCCAAUCUCAAUUCGAGGAGGUAGUGACAAGAAAUACCGUUGAAGGACACUACGUGUACUUCAUUCGGAAUGAGAACAAUCUAAACACCUUAACGAGGAUCAAUUGGAGGGCAAGUCUGGUGCCAGCAGCCGCGGUAAUUCCAGCUCCAAUAGUGUAUAUUAUUGUUGCUGUAGUUAAAAAGCUCGUAGUUGGAUUUCGAAAUGCGACUGUCAAAGCCCGUCCAAGUGGCGUGGCUCGACUGGUUGCUUUCUGUCUUUGGGUAAUGGGCGUAGCUUCGGUUGCGUUUUCCGUUCCUAAUUGUUUACUUUGAAAAAAUUAGCGCGUUCAAAGCAGGUGUAACUUUGCCUUGAAUAGUUUAGCAUGGGAUAAUAGAAUAGGACCACCGGCCUUAUUUUAUUGGUUUCUAAAGCUGGGGUAAUGAUUAAUAGGGACAGUUGGGGUCGGUCGUAUUGAAUCGUCAGAGGUGAAAUUCUAUGAUUGAUUCAAGACGAACUGGUGCGAAAGCGUCCGACAAGGAUGUUUCCGUUAAUCAAGAUCGAAAGUUGGGGGAUCGAAGAUGAUCAGAUACCGUCGUAGUCCUAACCAUAAACUAUGUGGACCAAGGAUCCGAGGAUGUUCCAUGGAUGACUCUCCGGGCACUUUGUGAGAAAUCAGAGUAUUUGCAUUCCGGGGGGAGUAUGGCCGCAAGACUGAAACUUAAAGGAAUUGACGGAAGGGCACCACCAGGAGUGGAAUCUGCGGCUUAAUUUGACUCAACACGGGGAAACUCACCAGGUCCGGACACAGUAAGGAUUGACAGAUUGAGAGCUCUUUCUUGAUUCUGUGGGUGGUGGUGCAUGGCCGUUUUUAGUUGGUGGACUGAUUUGUCUUGUUAAUUCAGAUAACGAGCGAGACCUCAUCCUGCUAAUUAGUGAUGUGAAUUUGGUUCCUCGCAAGGGGUUCCUAUCUGAUUCGUAGACUACUUCUUA